Molecule: ribosomal RNA, 363 nt
Filed under: uncultured eukaryote
Lineage: Eukaryota
Description: partial 18S ribosomal RNA
Rfam family: Eukaryotic small subunit ribosomal RNA
Source: RNAcentral
CAAUAGCGUAUACUAAUGUUGUUGCAGUUAAAAAGCUCGUAGUUGAACUUCUGGUAGGAGUGUCCCGGCCUUUUUGUUUUUACAAAUUGUAUGCUGUGUGACAUCUCUGGCCAUCCUUCUUCUUUGUUUAAAGAAGAUCUUUCACUGUAAAAAAAUUAGGGUGUUCAAAGCAAAAGUUUCUUUGGAAUAUAUUAGUAUGGGAUGAUAAGAUAGGCUCUAGAUGCUAUUUUGUUGGUUUGCACAUUUAGAGAAUGAUUAACAGGGACAGUUGGGGGUAUUCGUAUUUACAUGUCAGAGGUGAAAUUCUUGGAUUUUGGAAAGACGAACUACCGCGAAAGCAUUUACCAAGGAUGUUUUCAUUAA